UUUGCUAUGUGAAUUUCGCCUCAAAAAACCCCCAAAGAAAAAGCCAAUAACCAUCUGCCUCCAUCGCACACACAUGCGCACACACACACAGAAGCACCCUGUUAGCAGCCACUCUCUGCUUCAGGGGUCCAGGUGGUGAGGGGCCUCACUCAGGCCUUCCUUUCCAUCAAGGAAAGAACACAGUGGUGUCCUGAAGGGCAGGGGCCUGUGGAAGCUGGAGGACAAUAGGGGAGUGGCCUUAGCUGACCCAGGGGAGCAGGGCAACUGGAGCCUGGGCAUGAAGCACAGACGGCUCAAGCACAGCAAGGGUUCCCAGGCAGGGUUGCCCAUGGAGACACUGUGUGAUGGGCAUCCAUGGUCACGGGGAGCAGCGCUACCAGGUCAAAAGUGGCGAGAAGCACUUGACAGCAGCCUCGAGUAGCAGAAGGAGCCACAGUAACGUCGGUGUCCACCAGGGACAAAGACUGGCCCUCUCCUGUUUUCCCAGCACUGCACACACCCUGGAGUUUUGGUAGAAUCCAAAGGAGGUGUGGAGAUGACUGACACGGCACACCCUUCAGGAUAUGCCGUGCCGGAUGGACAGAUACAACAGACAUGGGGAGAGGAAGCAAAGUCUCUUUAAUGAUGAGGGGUGUGGAAACGUGUGGAAAUGGUUAGAAAGCAAGAGACGACCCAGCCGGCUUCCAGAGAGAGCCUGGGCCUCGAAGCAGAUGCAAACCUCUCUAAGGAAGAAAGGGGCGGCUACAGCGGGAAUCAAAGACACCAUUUCUCAGCUUUGAGUUUUAAAGUAGUCUUAAAAUUUCAUAGCAAGACAAUGGUCUCGAAAGCCAGACUUUUCAGAGAAAGGUUUUUCUUAAAACUCCGAAGGCUGGAGUUUUCACACAUCAAACAAUCAAAGCUGAGAGAGGUUGAAUGCUCAUUUUGUGAGUCAUAGAGCAGGGCAGAAUGAGGAUAUGACAAAAGGGAAGUUUCUACCCCACAGGAAGGAGAACAGUGAUUUUGAGACUUGGGGAAAGAAUUGAGAAAUGGGGCAAGGAAAUGCAGGCAGGGGUCAGGUGGUGUGCUGGUUCUCACCACCCCUCCCAUUGGGAUCAAACUCCAGGGGUAAGGGAGGACGGGAACAUCCAGGUAGUUUUAGGGCCUCCAAGAACUUCAGGGCUGGUGCCCCCACUUCCCCAGAUGUAGCCUGAGGAGUCUUCACAUCUUUCAGAGGAGCCUUUGGGUCAGCCUGAUACUGCAUCCAACAUGGCGCCCAAGCCAAGGAGUAGAGAUGACUGAGGGAGAUGCUCUGGUGGGUUGGGCCUGAGAUAGCACCCCUGGUUCGUAAUGAUCCAGCAUAUGAUGUGGAGGAGGUCCAGAAGUUCCUGUGUGCCACAGGGGAACCUGAAAAGUAGCUGAGGUGCUAGCUGGUGAGUUCACUAGGACGUCAUCACGGCAAAAGGCAAAGUGACCAGAGCUUCAGGAUGGACUUCUCAAACCAGGGGUCAAAUGGCUUUCCGUGCAGGCCUCAGGGAAGCAGGAGCCUCAGUGAGAGGCAGGUGAGGCCAAGGCAGCCAGGCAGCCUCCAACCCCCAGGCAACAUGUAACUGUGCCGCAAGACCUGAAGACACACAAGCUUCCUCUGCAACCAGCUGCCAUCUUGGAAUGAAGAAGGAGAAGGAAACCCCUUGGGGUGAUGGAGAAACCCAAAGAUGAAGUAAUUACUCAAAAGGAAAUGAUUUUAACCCGAGAGAGUCUGAGAUGCUACAACGGCAAGAACAAGAGUUUUUUGUCUACAGUAGAAAUGAGGUCUCAGGAGAUGAUUGGGAUUUUAUUGAUGGUCAUGUUUUACACAUCCAAGCAAAUUCCACCUUCACAGGAUCCUCAUGACUUCUAUCAUAACAUACGUUAUUUUUUCCAAUUAUGAUGGUAAUAUGAUUUCAUUUUAGAAAAUUUGGGGAACAAGACCAUAGAGAAGAAAACAAAAAUCCCGUCAUCUCAUCAACCAAAGAGAACUACAGUUAACAUCUUUGUUGAUUUCCUUCCAGUCUUUUCUCUAUGUGUACGUGUUUGUGUGUGUAUUACUGUGACUGGACACUUACAUAGCUUGUUGGUUGACAAGAUUCUUUAAUGUCUAAAGCACUUUUGUUUGUGGAAAGGAAUACCCACCACUUUGUGUACUUUGUUUAUUAUCUUUAAAUAAUCACCACUUUAAAUAAUCACCAUUACAAUCACUUCUAAAUAUUCACAGGACUCAUGACCACUAAAUCGAAAAUAUAAGAAGCUAACAAAUUCAGUUUCCCCAAAUGCUUAAACAUUGAUUGAAGUGUGAUCAAUUAAACUUCCCUAAGCAAUUGAUUACCAGUCUCCAAUAUAUAUAGAUUUUCUCAUGUGUUUUAAACGCCUUAAAAUGGAGACAGAACACGCCCACAAUGACAAGGAUUUCUAAACUGGGCAGCGCUUACACUAAAGCUGUUACAGAAGCGCUAAGACCAUGGGUUUACGUCGUAUCUCCAUCAUCUCCUCCUUACUCCUCUGUUGGUUUCUCCCCAGAGGCACGACUGUCUUCCCUUAGCUGAGAGAGCGGGGCUGCCUCGGCACUGGCUGAGGUGGCGUAAAGGGCAACAGGUCAGAGACCGCUCAGAUUAUUGGCUCUGAGUGCUCAGACAGGAUUUGAUUUUUUAUAGUCCUCCUCUUUGCCCCCAAGUGACACUUGCUCUGGGUGUUCUCACUUUGUAGCCCCGCCUGUUAUAAUCCUGCUUUACAAUUGUUCUGGGCAGUGGGGCAACUGACCUGGUUUAGAUAAAAAUUUGCCACACUGAAACGACAGCUUCUCUUUCUCAUUGACUAUUUUGACCUAUAAUAUUGACACUCUUUUUUUUUAAUGAGUAUUUUGUGAAUGAUUAAAUUUUCUUCAAAACUGUUUUUUAAUGGUUGCAUAACAUUUACUGGGAUGAACGCACCAUGAUUUAUUUAAGCUAUCUACUUAACUAUUUUGGGGUAUAUAGAUUAUAUUCCAUUUUUCUUUCCAUUAAAUCCAUCUCUGCUUAGAUGACGCUUGCUUGUGAAUCUCAGCAUGCCUUUCUAGUUGAUUGGGUUAAAUUCAUAGAAGGGAACCUCUUGGGUCAAUGGUUAUGAGGAUAUUUAAGGCUUUUGAUACUUGAUGCCAAAUUACCUUCUGGAACGGCUCAUCGUUCUGGUGUGGUCCCACAUAGGACAGGAAAAGGCACUGCCAUCUUUCUUUGGAGCCAGGGUAACCAAGGCAUGGCAGAGCGAAUUGUCUAAAGGGAGAGUAACUGGAGGUUCCAGCGAAGGAAGGUCCAUGCCAGGUUUCCGAACAUCCCCUAAGUCGCUUGAUGUGGUAACUGUGCUUUUCAAACUGACCACUCAGACCCAACCUGACAAGACCAGGCAUACUUCACGAACACUGGAAAAGAAUAUUUAGAAUCAAGACAGUUUCAGACAAGCUGGAACAUGGUAUGAUUAGCUGUUCAUACCUAUAUUGUCCAAUAUGGCAGCCGCCAGCCACAUGCAGCUAUCGAGCUACUGUGACUGAGGAAUGGAAUUUCUAAUUUAUUUUAAUUUUAAUUUAAAAAAUGAUAUUUGAUUCAGUUAUUAGAAAACUCUUAAGUGUGUUUGGAACAAUUUGGGUAUGUGAAUUUUUUUAUGCUAAGUUUUAUGAAGCCUAACUAAAUACAGAUCAAUAUUCCCAAUGAAAAUUUAGCACCCAAACUGAGAUGUGCUGUAAGUGUAAACACACACUGGGUUUGAAAGACUUCGUAUGAAAGAAGAAUGUAAGCUAUUUCGUUAGUAAAUGUUUUGUACUGCUCACAGGGUGCAAUGACAAUAUUUUGAAUAUAGAGGGUUA
Molecule: non-coding RNA, 3847 nt
Organism: Equus caballus (horse)
Lineage: Eukaryota; Metazoa; Chordata; Mammalia; Perissodactyla; Equidae
Source: RefSeq, a predicted model, not a curated record